This is a non-coding RNA of Mycena latifolia, 93 nucleotides long. NCBI's taxonomy places the organism in Eukaryota, Fungi, Basidiomycota, Agaricomycetes, Agaricales, Mycenaceae. The record is from the annotation of a GenBank genome assembly.
GGGGACGUGGUGUACGGCGCACCGCUGCAUUAGUUAUCCAGGUGCUCUCGCUAGGUUAUGCAGUAGGCCGGGGUUCGACUCCCCGCGUCCCCA